GUACGAGCUGGGCCCGGCGCUGUUCGUGGGCUGGGCCGGUUCCGCGCUGUUGUUGUUGGGCGGUUCCGCGCUGCUCUGCUCCUGCGGGAACCGAACCGGAACCGGAAAGGCCCGAUACCCACGUGUCAACAACGCGCCGAGGAAAGCCGGAAGCGGAAGUGCCACCGACUACGUUUGAGAGACGCCCUGCGAGAAGAAGCGGGCCAAUCAAAUCGCAGAAUCUCCCUUUAGCCCCGCCCACGUAGACCACACCCUAUUAAGCCCCUCCCACUUUCGCGCGACCGGAACCGGAAGUGCGGCCGACUACGUCAAGGCGCGCUCUCCACCAGGCCACGCCCCCACGGCCCCCAAUCCACCAAUCGGAUCGCAGCGCGCCUAUUUAGCCCCGCCCCCUUCAGCCCCCUCCUCAAUUUGGGGCCGUUUCCCCCUUUUUAAUCAUUUCCCGCCAUAUUUGUUGCUUUUUUCUCCAUCUCCCGUUUUUCCUCUCGCGAUAUUUCAUCAUUUUGGGCUCAUUUCCCCCCAUUUCGGGUCCAUUUCCCCGAUUCUGUCCGUUUUUUCCCCUCUCUGUUGAUUUUUAAUCACUUUUGCCCCCAAACCGAUCGAUUUCCCCCAAAAAUCACCAUUUUCCGCCCAAUUUUCCCCAUUUUCUCCCCCAAUUUCGCCAUUCCUGGCCCCAUUCGGGCCUUUUGGGGCCAUUUUGGGGCCUUUUCCCCUAUUUUGUACUUUUCCCCCCAUUUCCUCCUUCUUUCCUCCCAAUUUCCUCAUUUUUAUACGAAAUAAACUUGUUUUUUUGGAGCCUUUUACCCAAUUCCGGCCUUUUUUGCCUCGAGUUCAAAAUGGCGGCUCCCGCGCUGUCCAAAAUGGCGGCGCCCUUGUGGGGAAUCCAAGAUGGCGGCUGGCGGCGGCGCGGUUUGAUGACGUCAAAUCUCCCGCGCCGUUGCCAUGCUGCGCGCGUUGGUGGAGGGCGGCGCGGAGCGGCUGGUUUGGGUGGAGGGUCCGGUUAUGGGGCUCCAUUGGGGUCUAUGGGGCCGGGUGUGGGGCUGUGGGGCCCCAUUGGGGUCUAUGGGACCGGGUUUGGGUCUCCAUUGGGGUCUAUGGGGCAGGCUGUGGGGCUGUGGGGCUCCAUUGGGGUCUAUGGGGCUUGGUGGGGGAUCCAAUGGGGAUCUAUGGGUCUGGGACUGUGGGGUGCCAUGGGGAUCUAUGGGGCUCCAUUGGGGUCUAUGGGGCUCGGUGGGGGAUUCAGUGGGGGUCUAUGGGGCUGGGUGUUGGGUUGUGAGGUUCCAUGGGGGUCUAUGGGGCUCAGUGGGGGGGUCAGUGGGUAUCUGUGGGGCUGGGUGUUGGGUUGUGGGUCACAAUGGGGGUCUAUGGGGCUGGCUAUGGGGUGCUAUAGUGCCGUGGGUCUCACUGUGCCCCACAGAUAACGCCACGUGUGAAGGCCGCAGCCUCCUCCGGGCUUUUGUCACUGCUGCCGUGAAAAGGGCUGAGCCGGUCGACGUCGUCCUCCUCGAGGUGACCAGGGAGCAGUUUGGGAUCGGACUGAGCCCGGAGGUGAAGGAGCAGCUCCGUUUCCAUGAUGACGUCACGGACCCCCGGGGUUGGUUGGGGGUCGCUGUGGGUCGCCCGGCUCUAUGGGGUUUGGGCCUCAAUGGGGCCGGGCCCAACUCGAUGGUGGUGGUGGAUUCCUUGAGCGCCGCCCUGCUCCGACAGCGCCCCCACGUGGCCGGGAGGACUAUGAAAGCCGCCAUGGGGGCGGGGCG
Coturnix japonica (Japanese quail) is the source of this 1757-nucleotide long non-coding RNA. Lineage: Eukaryota; Metazoa; Chordata; Aves; Galliformes; Phasianidae. The record is from Ensembl.